RNAcentral lists this ribosomal RNA (253 nucleotides) under uncultured bacterium. RNAcentral's name for it is "partial 16S ribosomal RNA". It matches the Rfam family "Bacterial small subunit ribosomal RNA", at positions 524 to 776 of the family's 1533-position model. The record is from RNAcentral.
UACAGAGGUCUCAAGCGUUGUUCGGAUUCAUUGGGCGUAAAGGGUGCGUAGGUGGCGGGGCAAGUCAGGUGUGAAAUCUCGGGGCUCAACCUCGAAACUGCACUUGAUACUGCCUUGCUUGAGUAUUGGAGAGGAGAUUGGAAUUUACGGUGUAGCAGUGAAAUGCGUAGAUAUCGUAAGGAAGACCAGUGGCGAAGGCGGUCUGCUGGGCCGUUGCUGACGCUGAGGCGCGACAGCGUGGGGAGCAAACAGG